This is a microRNA precursor of Ochotona princeps (American pika), 96 nucleotides long. The record is from Ensembl. NCBI's taxonomy places the organism in Eukaryota, Metazoa, Chordata, Mammalia, Lagomorpha, Ochotonidae.
GCCGUGGGCAUCUGGCACUGUGGCUCCUGCAUGAAGACGGUGGCCAGGGGCGCCUGGACCUACAACACCACUUCCGCAGUCACAGUUAAGUCUGCC